CUGGUUGAUCCUGCCAGAGGUCACUGCUAUCGGGGUUCGAUUAAGCCAUGCGAGUCGAGAGGGUUCAGACCCUCGGCGGACUGCUCAGUAACACGUGGAUAACCUGCCCUAAGGUGGAGCAUAACCCCGGGAAACUGGGGAUAAUACUCCAUAGGUUAGAGAUACUGGAAUGUUCUUUAAUCGAAAGUUCCGGCGCCUUAGGAUGGAUCUGCGGCCGAUUAGGUAGUUGUUGGGGUAACGGCCCAACAAGCCUGUAAUCGGUACGGGUUGUGGGAGCAAGAGCCCGGAGAUGGAGUCUGAGACACGAUUCCAGGCCCUACGGGGCGCAGUAGGCGCGAAAACUUUACAAUGCAGGAAACUGUGAUAAGGGAACCCCGAGUGCCCGUAUACGCGGGCUGUCCGGGUGUAUAAAAAGCAUCUGAAGAAAGGGCCGGGCAAGACCGGUGCCAGCCGCCGCGGUAAUACCGGCGGCUCAAGUGGUGACCACUUUUAUUGGGCUUAAAGCGUUCGUAGCUGGACUCUUAAGUCUCUUGGGAAAUCCCGCGGCUCAACCGUGGGGCGUUUAAGAGAUACUGGGAGUCUAGGAACCGGGAGAGGUAAGAGGUACUUCGGGGGUAGAAGUGAAAUUCUGUAAUCCUCGAGGGACCACCGAUGGCGAAGGCAUCUUACCAGAACGGCUUCGACAGUGAGGAACGAAAGCUGGGGGAGCGAACGGGAUUAGAUACCCCGGUAGUCCCAGCCGUAAACGAUGCGCGUUAGGUGUACUGGUGACCACGAGUCACUGGGGUGCCGAAGGGAAACCGUGAAACGUGCCACCUGGGAAGUACGGUCGCAAGGCUGAAACUUAAAGGAAUUGGCGGGGGAGCACCAC
This 871-nucleotide ribosomal RNA is filed under the name uncultured archaeon. Its description in RNAcentral is "bacterial SSU rRNA". It matches the Rfam family "Archaeal small subunit ribosomal RNA", at positions 4 to 882 of the family's 1478-position model. The record is from RNAcentral.